This 37-nucleotide ribosomal RNA is filed under the name Pyrenula infraleucotrypa. Its description in RNAcentral is "partial large subunit ribosomal RNA". Lineage: Eukaryota; Fungi; Ascomycota; Eurotiomycetes; Pyrenulales; Pyrenulaceae. The record is from RNAcentral.
UUGACCUCGUAUCUGGCAAGAAUACCCGCUGAACUUA